UUCAACAUAUUAAUUCAAACUUUGCAGCGGAUUAAAUUCAUUAACAUAAAAAGUCUUGGCACGAAGGCCUCAUCAAAACAUCUCAUAAAAAUCCAAUUAACAACUUAAUCAUGUAAAUUUAUAAACAAUACGUAAGGAAUAGAAAAGCAUGCAACAAAGUUCCCAUCCCGUUACGUAUCAGAGCACCUAAACGACUCAGUGAGGGAUAGCCACUCACGACAGCAAAAACACAGCAACCUACUCUCGAUCACCUGCAAGUUACUCAUACGAAGAGCAACAUUUUCAAGCAGAAGGGGUGAGAUUCACAAUCAAUAAUAAUAAUAUAUAAUUCAUCAAAUGCAUCUAACAACUUAAACUUCAUCAAUUAGUAAUAGUAAUUCUUUUAACGACUCCUAAACCAUAUCAUAUACUCAUCAUAUCAACAAUCAUAACUCGAUAUCAUAAGCAACAUCAUAACAGCAUCAUUUAACUUCAUAAUUAACAUCUUAAUCAUAAUCAUAUAACAUUAUACUCAUAAUUCGUAUACAACAUGACAACUUCAUAAUCAAUGACCUAAACAACGUAACAACAUCAUAUUCAUAGUUCAUAUACAACAUAACAACAUCAUUAAUUCAUGUUAACAUUCUCCACCUAGCACCUUAUUAACAACUCAUGAAUAGAGGACAACUUAGCAACUAUACGUAACAUCAUCAUUUCAUAAUAAUAAUUAUUCAUCAAACAUUCCAUCAGCAAUUCAUGAAUAAAAGACAACUUAUCAACUUAACAUAACCAUCAUCAAGUACAUUUAACAACUCAUAGAUAACAUCUCAUAAUCAUCAUCACAACAUUCAUAAUCACCAUCAUGUAACAUCAUAACAAUCUCAUAUUCAACACCAUAAACAGUCAUCAUAACAUCGUAAUCAAUAUCAUAAACAUCUUCUCAUAAUAAUAUAAACGACAUGACAUAAUCAUCACAUCAUAACAAUAUAAACAACUACAUAUAUUUAACAAUAAUGUUCUUACUUCUUUAACUUUAGUAACACUUACUAAUUCAACCAACAACGACGAUAACUACAAUUAUCCAAUAUAUAUAUAUAUAUAUAUAUAUAUUUCAUAAUCAACAAUAUCAUCAAUAAUAAAUAUCUAACUCAUCAAUUAAAUCUAUCACCCUGUCAUAAUAAUAAUUCAUCAAUAUAUAAGUAUAUCAUCAUUAACAACAUCAACCAAAUGAUAAUUAAAACCAACAACAACGACUCAUGCAACAACUCGACACCACCGCUAAGACUCAUGCAAGACAUGACAACUCCACUAAGACUCCUCAACAAAUGAAACUAUGCAUGUGGUACCAAAAUCAGGGCCGUGACCCACACCGCUGUCGAAUGGUUAAAGCAUUCUCAUCAGGACAUAAGUCCUCACCACUAACACCACUUUGAGCAACUAGUGCUCCACCACUUUGAACGACAAGGCGUUCCAGAGCCGAAGCUCUCCCACUUUUAUGCUUAUGCAACUGACCCACCUGUGUAUAUCUACAUACAACUCAACUACAAACACCGACAGUAUGAACGACGACAACCACCCCUCAACAAAUACAUAUAUUUAUAUAUAUGAAUAAGACUUACACCACAAUAAUACAACUAAUGAUAGCCAACAACAACUUCAACGCCAUAUAUUUUCCACAUAAUAUAUAUAUAUAUAUAUUUCACAUUAACCAACACCAGCCAACAUUUCCCACAACAUUAACCAACGUCGCCUAAAUAUUAACCAACUUUAAUCAAAGGUUAACCCACUUUAAUUAAACAUUAACCCACUUUAAUCAAAUAUUAACCAACAUAUUAACCAACAGAUGCAUCUUAAUCAAUAAUAACCAGUAACAUGGCAGCACACAAACAAUCUCAAAAUAUAACAACAUCAAAUGGUAAUCAACAUCUUAAAACAUCAUAUAUACAUAUAACACUUCAUCAAUCAUUGACAAUAUCGUAUUCACAAAUAUAUACAUACAUAUAUUAAUUCAUCAAUCAUAAACAAUUCUUCACUGUGACCUACGUGCAGUAAUUCGACCAUAACUCAAGUUCUAUAAAUCCUUUUGAAGUCAAACCAACGACAUUAGAAAGCUUACAACUUUCGUGUUUACACCUAAGACCAAUUAUGUACCAAUCAAUACCAGUUUUCAUUUCAAAUUCUGACAAAGUUGUGCUGAAAUUCAUAAAAAUUCACUAAGACCUCCUUGGAGUAUUUUCAUCAUAUCUCAUAAACCAAAAAUCAUUUUCGAGUCAAACUAAAGCCAUUGGAAAGCUAACAAAAUUAUCUACAACUUUCAUGUUUACACCAAAGACCAAUUCAAAACAGAAACAUGUGAAAAAGACGCAAGAACGCGAAACAGGUGAUGCUGUCUCUGUGCAGCUCGCGAGGCGAGUAAGUUUACUCACUGUGGCGAGUUGCGACGAACAACCCUACGGGAACAGACCAGUUUUCAGCCAAAAACCCAAUUUUUCAUCCACCCAAACCCCAAAUUUGAUAGGAAACUCAACCUAUAUUUAUUCUACAAUCUGAACAUCGAUUCUUAACACAAUUGCCAUCGUUUCUACACUUUUCAAUCCAAGAAUCAUACUCCAAAAACCUAACCCCCAAUUCCCAAUUUCAACUAGAACUAUGCUAAACCAAAAUCAGAAUUAUAUAACCAUUAUCAUUGAGAGAUAGUCUCACCCUUACCUUAAUUCAGAAGAAAAAUGCACAACGAUCGGAUUCCCUUGGCUCUACUUGCUCUUCUCUCCCUUGUCCUUGGUUUUUCUCUCCCAAAACUUGUUUUACGUAAAACUGCUUCUAACCUUUUCUUUUCCUAACUCCCAAAAUAUAACUCCUCCUUUAUUUCAUUAAACUCCCCUUAAUUCUAUUAAUUCCUAAUUAACUCUCCAACCUCCAAAAU
RNAcentral lists this long non-coding RNA (2902 nucleotides) under Medicago truncatula (barrel medic). Its description in RNAcentral is "long non-coding RNA (MTRU_LNC004016)". Lineage: Eukaryota; Viridiplantae; Streptophyta; Magnoliopsida; Fabales; Fabaceae. The record is from RNAcentral.